Molecule: long non-coding RNA, 588 nt
Filed under: Cucumis sativus (cucumber)
Lineage: Eukaryota; Viridiplantae; Streptophyta; Magnoliopsida; Cucurbitales; Cucurbitaceae
Description: long non-coding RNA (CSAT_LNC003048)
Source: RNAcentral
GUAACUGUCGUGCCUCCCCGCUCACAACCGUCGUCCAGAUCUGCAUCGCCGAGCCGUCCAGGUCCUCGCUGCCGCUCGUGCUUCACCCUUGCAGUUCGCAGUAACCCAGAUCCGUCGCUGCAACCGUCGGCCGGUUCGUGAAGCCCUGCCGCGCAACCUCUGUUUCCAGCCGCCGCCCAUUUCGUUCUCCUCUGUUUUCUGCACUGCCACGCGACUCUCCGACCGCGUCUGUCUUCACCUCCGUGAAGCCGUCGAUGCAUACAUCUUGUGAAGCCCGGUCGCCGCGUCAGAUCGUCGAUCGAUUUUGAGGCAGCCGCCACGUCUCCUUUGGCCGACCGCUGACCGACCCACACUUAGGAUUUUUGCUGCGAGUUCGACAGUCGUGCGUUGAGGUGUUGGGAGUAACGUUGGGCUCCCUUAAAUUCACAACCAAUAUAUGAAUUGUUGAGGGUUCAGUUCGCCAAUACUUCGGUGAGUUGGAACUUACGUUGAGGAAAGUAAGUGAGAUAUGUAUCUUGAAAGUAAUCGAAUUUUUGUAUUGUAUUGCUUAGGAUUGUUUCGAGGACGUUAGUUGAUUAAGGAGCUUCC